This 253-nucleotide ribosomal RNA is filed under the name Segatella copri DSM 18205. Its description in RNAcentral is "Prevotella copri DSM 18205 partial 16S ribosomal RNA". It matches the Rfam family "Bacterial small subunit ribosomal RNA", at positions 524 to 776 of the family's 1533-position model. Lineage: Bacteria; Pseudomonadati; Bacteroidota; Bacteroidia; Bacteroidales; Prevotellaceae. The record is from RNAcentral.
UACGGAAGGUCCGGGCGUUAUCCGGAUUUAUUGGGUUUAAAGGGAGCGUAGGCUGGAGAUUAAGCGUGUUGUGAAAUGUAGACGCUCAACGUCUGCACUGCUGCGCGAACUGGUUUCCUUGAGUACGCACAAAGUGGGCGGAAUUCGUGGUGUAGCGGUGAAAUGCUUAGAUAUCACGAAGAACUCCGAUUGCGAAGGCAGCUCACUGGAGCGCAACUGACGCUGAAGCUCGAAAGUGCGGGUAUCGAACAGG